AGGACGAACGCUGGCGGCGUGCUUAACACAUGCAAGUCGAGGGCACUUUGGGGGCAACUCUGGAGUGACCGGCGAACGGGUGCGUAACACGUGAGCGACCUUGCCUCGUGGUGGGGGAUAGCCGGCCCAACGGCCGGGUAAUACCGCAUAGGGUAGUUUCUUCGCACGGGGAGACUAGCAAAGCUGAGUAGCAAUACUUGGCGCCACAGGGGGGGCUCGCGGCCUAUCAGCUAGUUGGGGGGGUAAUGGCCCACCAAGGCGACGACGGGUAGCUGGU
RNAcentral lists this ribosomal RNA (277 nucleotides) under uncultured bacterium. RNAcentral's name for it is "partial small subunit ribosomal RNA". It matches the Rfam family "Bacterial small subunit ribosomal RNA", at positions 26 to 291 of the family's 1533-position model. The record is from RNAcentral.